GUUUGAUCAUGGCUCAGAUUGAACGCUGGCGGCAUGCCUUACACAUGCAAGUCGAACGGCAGCACGGGAGCAAUCCUGGUGGCGAGUGGCGAACGGGUGAGUAAUAUAUCGGAACGUGCCCAGUCGUGGGGGAUAACGUAGCGAAAGCUACGCUAAUACCGCAUACGAUCUAUGGAUGAAAGCGGGGGAUCGCAAGACCUCGCGCGAUUGGAGCGGCCGAUAUCAGAUUAGGUAGUUGGUGAGGUAAAGGCUCACCAAGCCGACGAUCUGUAGCUGGUCUGAGAGGACGACCAGCCACACUGGGACUGAGACACGGGCCCGACUCCUACGGGAGGCAGCAGUAAGGAAUAUUGGUCAAUGGACGCAAGUCUGAACCAGCCAUGCCGCGUGAAGGAUGAAGGCCCUCUGGGUUGUAAACUUCUUUUAUCUGGGAAGAAAACCCCUGUUUCUACAGGGUUUGACGGUACCAGAGGAAUAAGCACCGGCUAACUCCGUGCCAGCAGCCGCGGUAAUACGGAGGGUGCAAGCGUUAUCCGGAUUUACUGGGUUUAAAGGGUGCGUAGGCGGACAAAUAAGUCAGUGGUGAAAGCUCCGAGCUUAACUCGGAAACUGCCAUUGAUACUGUUUGUCUUGAAUAUAGUGGAGGUUGGCGGAAUGUGUCAUGUAGCGGUGAAAUGCUUAGAUAUGACACAGAACACCGAUUGCGAAGGCAGCUGGCUACACUAUUAUUGACGCUGAGGCACGAAAGCGUGGGGAUCAAACAGGAUUAGAUACCCUGGUAGUCCACGCCCUAAACUAUGGAUACUCGACAUUAGCAAUAUACCGUUAGUGUCUAAGCGAAAGCAUUAAGUAUCCCACCUGGGAAGUACGACCGCAAGGUUGAAACUCAAAGGAAUUGACGGGGUCCGCACAAGUGGUGGAG
This 922-nucleotide ribosomal RNA is filed under the name uncultured bacterium. Its description in RNAcentral is "bacterial SSU rRNA". It matches the Rfam family "Bacterial small subunit ribosomal RNA", at positions 11 to 937 of the family's 1533-position model. The record is from RNAcentral.